This 422-nucleotide ribosomal RNA is filed under the name uncultured bacterium. RNAcentral describes it as "bacterial SSU rRNA". It matches the Rfam family "Bacterial small subunit ribosomal RNA", at positions 30 to 454 of the family's 1533-position model. The record is from RNAcentral.
AUUGAACGCUGGCGGCAUGCCUUACACAUGCAAGUCGAACGGCAGCACGGGAGCAAUCCUGGUGGCGAGUGGCGAACGGGUGAGUAAUAUAUCGGAACGUGCCCAGUCGUGGGAAUAACGUAGCGAAAGCUACGCUAAUACCGCAUACGAUCUAUGGAUGAAAGCGGGGGAUCGCAAGACCUCGCGCGAUUGGAGCGGCCGAUAUCAGAUUAGGUAGUUGGUGAGGUAAAGGCUCACCCAAGCCGACGAUCUGUAGCUGGUCUGAGAGGACGACCAGCCACACUGGGACUGAGACACGGCCCAGACUCCUACGGGAGGCAGCAGUGGGGGAAUUUUUGGACAAUGGGCGCAAGCCUGAUCCAGCAAUGCCGCGUGCAGGAUGAAGGCCUCGGUUGUAACUGCUUUGUACGGUACGAAACGGU